UGUCCAGUAGCACCUUAGAGACCAAUUAAGUUUGUUCUUGGUAUGAGCUUCAGAUACCUAUCUGAAGAAGUGUGCAUGCACACAAAAGCUCAUACCAAGAACAAGCUUAGUUGGUCUCUAAGGUGCUACUGGACA
This is a non-coding RNA of Podarcis lilfordi (Lilford's wall lizard), 135 nucleotides long. The record is from the annotation of a GenBank genome assembly. NCBI's taxonomy places the organism in Eukaryota, Metazoa, Chordata, Lepidosauria, Squamata, Lacertidae.